Molecule: non-coding RNA, 72 nt
Organism: Paramuricea clavata
Lineage: Eukaryota; Metazoa; Cnidaria; Anthozoa; Malacalcyonacea; Plexauridae
Source: the annotation of a GenBank genome assembly
GACUCUGUAGCUCAUUUGAUUAGAGCUGCACUGGAAUUACACGGCCGCAGGUUCGAUUCCUGCAAGGGAGCA